RNAcentral lists this ribosomal RNA (253 nucleotides) under uncultured bacterium. RNAcentral describes it as "partial 16S ribosomal RNA". It matches the Rfam family "Bacterial small subunit ribosomal RNA", at positions 524 to 776 of the family's 1533-position model. The record is from RNAcentral.
UACGUAGGGUGCAAGCGUUGUCCGGAAUUAUUGGGCGUAAAGAGCUCGUAGGCGGUUUGUCGCGUCUGCUGUGAAAACCCGAGGCUCAACCUCGGGCCUGCAGUGGGUACGGGCAGACUAGAGUGCGGUAGGGGAGAUUGGAAUUCCUGGUGUAGCGGUGGGAUGCGCAGAUAUCAGGAGGAACACCAAUGGCGAAGGCAGAUCUCUGGGCCGUAACUGACGCUGAGGAGCGAAAGCAUGGGGAGCGAACAGG